Long non-coding RNA from Triticum dicoccoides, 1000 nucleotides. RefSeq lists it as uncharacterized. Lineage: Eukaryota; Viridiplantae; Streptophyta; Magnoliopsida; Poales; Poaceae. The record is from RefSeq and is a predicted model, not a curated record. The transcript has 5 exons.
CCCAGCAAGAUCCAGCGUGCUCCAAGAUACCCACGCUCUGCUCCUCCCUCCCUCCCGUCCGGCAAGAUCCAGCGUGCAGCCUCCCUCUCCUCGAUCCAGAUCGAUAGGUCCACCACAUACACUUCUAGCGAUCCCUAAUCUGGUGAUAGAGAUGGCUGCUCCCGCGCCGGCCUUCUUCCUCGCCUAGAUGCUGCUGCUUGUCUCCUCUCCGAUGAGUGUGGCGGAGCCACCGCGGUCGAGGCAGCCGCCGGCUGGAGCCCCGCCUCUUGUCCUCUCCGGUCGCUGUGGAGGUCCGCCGCGUCCAACCUCCUCGACGGCGCCCGGAACCCUAGGCGGCCCAUCUCUUCCUCCCAUGGCCAUAGCCAUGGCGAGCCUGCAAGAUGUGCAGUAGCAGAUCUUUGAGUACAACGGCUCUGCAACCUGCAGCCGCUGGUCCGGGACGAGUGCAGCGCCGGUUAGGGUGUCCAGCGCCAACCAGAGCGCGCCCCAGGUGCUCUACGGAACGCCCGUUGCACCGCCUGGUCUCAACUUUCUUGCCCUUGGCCAAGCUGAGGGAGAGGGCUAGGGGCUCGGGUGGUACAGUGGCUGUAAGAAUAUGCUCGGGAACGUCGAGUCAGGUCUACUAGGGCGGCAUCCGCGGCCGUCGUCGUCGGCUAUUUCAUCUACAAAGGUUCCAAGCUCGCCCAUGACUCCACUGCCCUCCAGUAUGCAUGCCCAAGUCAAGCUUGCGGUCAUGAUGAAGAUGAUGUACUUCAUUUGUGUUUCAUCGUGGGCUCUAGGACGAAGAAGUCGGGGGAAUCAUAGACUUCUAGCUCAUUGGAGCUAGUUAUACUUCGAUAGCUAGUUAUUUUUUUUAUUCUUUAGUUGUGUUACCUGAUGCGAACUAUUUCUGAUUGUAAACCUGAUGUGAACCAUGUUUGAUCGCAAUGUGCCAGGUUUGGCUCUUUUUGAUUGCAUUCAUGAUUUGAACCAUGUUUUCAAGAUAUUUAGUUAUGCUCUG